RNAcentral lists this ribosomal RNA (264 nucleotides) under uncultured bacterium. Its description in RNAcentral is "partial 16S ribosomal RNA". It matches the Rfam family "Bacterial small subunit ribosomal RNA", at positions 91 to 353 of the family's 1533-position model. The record is from RNAcentral.
CUUAGUGGCGGACGGGUGAGUAACGCGUGGGUAACCUGCCUCACACCGGGGGAUAACAGUUAGAAAUAGCUGCUAAUACCGCAUAAGCGCACAGUUCCGCAUGGAACAGUGUGAAAAACUCCGGUGGUGUGAGAUGGACCCGCGUCUGAUUAGCCAGUUGGCGGGGUAACGGCCUACCAAGGCGACGAUCAGUAGCCGGCCUGAGAGGGUGAACGGCCACAUUGGGACUGAGACACGGCCCAAACUCCUACGGGAGGCAGCAUG